Molecule: ribosomal RNA, 489 nt
Filed under: uncultured bacterium
Lineage: Bacteria
Description: partial 16S ribosomal RNA
Rfam family: Bacterial small subunit ribosomal RNA
Source: RNAcentral
GAUGAACGCUAGCUACAGGCUUAACACAUGCAAGUCGAGGGGCAACAUGGUCUUAGCUUGCUAAGGCCGAUUGCGACCGGCGCACGGGUGAGUAACACGUCUCCAACCUGCCGUCUACUCUUGGACAGCCUUCUGAAAGUAAGAUUAAUACAAGAUGGCAUCAUGAGUCCGCGUGUUCACAUGAUUCAAGGUAUUCCGGUAGACGAUGGGGAUGCGUUCCAUUAGAUAGUAGGCUGGCUUACGGCCCACCUAGUCUUCGAUGGAUAGGGGUUCUGGGAGGAAGGUCCCCCACAUUGGAACUGAGACACGGUCAAAACUCCUACGGGAGGCAGCAGUGAGGAAGAUUGGUCGAUGGGCGAGAGCCUGAACCAGCAAAGUAGCGGGAAGGAUGACUGCCGUAUGGGUUGUAAACUUCGUUUAUAAAGGAAUAAAGUCGGGUAUGGACACCCGUUUGCGGGUACUGUAUAAAUAAGGACGGGCAAACUCGGU